This 273-nucleotide ribosomal RNA is filed under the name uncultured bacterium. RNAcentral's name for it is "partial 16S ribosomal RNA". It matches the Rfam family "Bacterial small subunit ribosomal RNA", at positions 793 to 1055 of the family's 1533-position model. The record is from RNAcentral.
GUCCACGCUGUAAACGAUGCAUACUAGGUUCGGGUGUCUCUGACGGCUCCCGAUCCGAAACAAAAGCGAUAAGUAUGCCGCCUGGGGAGUACGGCCGCAAGGCUAAAACUCAAAGGAAUUGACGGGGGCUCACACAAGCGGUGGAGCAUGUGGCUUAAUUCGAAGCAACGCGAAGAACCUUACCCAGGUUUGACAUGCACGGAUGCUUUAGUGGGAUAACCAUUAAAGUCGCCCGCAAGGGUGGAACGUGCACAGGUGUUGCAUGGCUGUCGU